GAUGAAGAACGUAGUGAAAUGCGAUAAGUAAUGUGAAUUGCAGAAUUCAGUGAAUCAUCGAAUCUUUGAACGCACAUUGCGCCCCUUGGUAUUCCGAUGGGCAUGCCUGUUCGAGCGUCAUUAUAACCCCUCAAGCUCAGCUUGGUGUUGGGGCCUGCUGCACUGGCAGCCCUUAAAAUCAGUGGCGGCGCCAUCUGGCUCUAAGCGUAGUAAUUCUUCUCGCUAUGGAGUCCUGGUGGAUGCUUGCCAUCAACCCCCAAUUUUUCUAUGGUUGACCUCGGAUCAGGUAGGGAUACCCGCUGAACUUAAGCAUAUCAAUAAGCGGAGGA
This 329-nucleotide unclassified non-coding RNA is filed under the name soil metagenome. Its description in RNAcentral is "partial contains 5.8S ribosomal RNA, internal transcribed spacer 2, and large subunit ribosomal RNA". The stretch from base 1 to 120 matches the Rfam family "5.8S ribosomal RNA", at positions 35 to 154 of the family's 154-position model. The record is from RNAcentral.